UAUAGAGUUUGAUCCCUGGCUCAGGACGAACGCUGGCGGCGUGCCUAAUACAUGCAAGUCGUACGCUUUUUCUUUCACCGGAGCUUGCUCCACCGAAAGAAAAGGAGUGGCGAACGGGUGAGUAACACGUGGGUAACCUGCCCAUCAGAAGGGGAUAACACUUGGAAACAGGUGCUAAUACCGUAUAACAAUCGAAACCGCAUGGUUUUGAUUUGAAAGGCGCUUUCGGGUGUCGCUGAUGGAUGGACCCGCGGUGCAUUAGCUAGUUGGUGAGGUAACGGCUCACCAAGGCCACGAUGCAUAGCCGACCUGAGAGGGUGAUCGGCCACAUUGGGACUGAGACACGGCCCAAACUCCUACGGGAGGCAGCAGUAGGGAAUCUUCGGCAAUGGACGAAAGUCUGACCGAGCAACGCCGCGUGAGUGAAGAAGGUUUUCGGAUCGUAAAACUCUGUUGUUAGAGAAGAACAAGGAUGAGAGUAACUGUUCAUCCCUUGACGGKAUCUAACCAGAAAGCCACGGCUAACUACGUGCCAGCAGCCGCGGUAAUACGUAGGUGGCAAGCGUUGUCCGGAUUUAUUGGGCGUAAAGCGAGCGCAGGCGGUUUCUUAAGUCUGAUGUGAAAGCCCCCGGCUCAACCGGGGAGGGUCAUUGGAAACUGGGAGACUUGAGUGCAGAAGAGGAGAGUGGAAUUCCAUGUGUAGCGGUGAAAUGCGUAGAUAUAUGGAGGAACACCAGUGGCGAAGGCGACUCUCUGGUCUGYAACUGACGCUGAGGCUCGAAAGCGUGGGGAGCAAACAGGAUUAGAUACCCUGGUAGUCCACGCCGUAAACGAUGAGUGCUAAGUGUUGGAGGGUUUCCGCCCUUCAGUGCUGCAGCUAACGCAUUAAGCACUCCGCCUGGGGAGUACGACCGCAAGGUUGAAACUCAAAGGAAUUGACGGGGGCCCGCACAAGCGGUGGAGCAUGUGGUUUAAUUCGAAGCAACGCGAAGAACCUUACCAGGUCUUGACAUCCUUUGACCACUCUAGAGAUAGAGCUUCCCCUUCGGGGGCAAAGUGACAGGUGGUGCAUGGUUGUCGUCAGCUCGUGUCGUGAGAUGUUGGGUUAAGUCCCGCAACGAGCGCA
This 1126-nucleotide ribosomal RNA is filed under the name Enterococcus sp. A3. Its description in RNAcentral is "bacterial SSU rRNA". It matches the Rfam family "Bacterial small subunit ribosomal RNA", at positions 1 to 1100 of the family's 1533-position model. Lineage: Bacteria; Bacillati; Bacillota; Bacilli; Lactobacillales; Enterococcaceae. The record is from RNAcentral.